Molecule: ribosomal RNA, 372 nt
Filed under: uncultured bacterium
Lineage: Bacteria
Description: bacterial SSU rRNA
Rfam family: Bacterial small subunit ribosomal RNA
Source: RNAcentral
AUACGUAGGGGGCAAGCGUUGUCCGGAUUUAUUGGGCGUAAAGGGUACGCAGGCGGCCUUUUAAGUCAGAUGUGAAAGAUCACGGCUCAACCGUGGUAAGCAUUUGAAACUGGAAGGCUUGAGUUAAGGAGAGGAAAGUGGAAUUCCUAGUGUAGCGGUGAAAUGCGUAGAUAUUAGGAGGAAUACCAGUGGCGAAGGCGACUUUCUGGACUUAUACUGACGCUGAGGUACGAAAGCGUGGGGAGCGAACAGGAUUAGAUACCCUGGUAGUCCACGCCGUAAACGAUGAGUGCUAGGUGUCGGGGGUCAAACCUCGGUGCCGCAGCUAACGCAUUAAGCACUCCGCCUGGGGAGUACGUACGCAAGUAUGAA